This 514-nucleotide ribosomal RNA is filed under the name uncultured bacterium. RNAcentral describes it as "partial 16S ribosomal RNA". It matches the Rfam family "Bacterial small subunit ribosomal RNA", at positions 28 to 523 of the family's 1533-position model. The record is from RNAcentral.
GAUGAACGCUGGCGGCGUGCCUAGUACAUGCAAGUCGAGCGAACAGAUGAGAAGCUUGCUUCUCUGAUGUUAGCGGCGGACGGGUGAGCAACACGUGGGUAACCUACCUAUAAGACUGGGAUAACUCCGGGAAACCGGGGCUAAUACCGGAUAAUAUUUUGAACCGCAUGGUUCAAUAGUGAAAGACGGUUUCGGCUGUCACUUAUAGAUGGACCCGCGCCGUAUUAGCUAGUUGGUAAGGUAACGGCUUACCAAGGCGACGAUACGUAGCCGACCGGAGAGGGUGAGCGGCCACACUGGAACUGAGACACGGUCCAGACUCCUACGGGAGGCAGCAGUAGGGAAUCUUCCGCAAUGGGCGAAAGCCUGACGGAGCAACGCCGCGUGAGUGAUGAAGGUCUUCGGAUCGUAAAACUCUGUUGUUAGGGAAGAACAAAUUUGUUAGUAACUGAACAAGUCUUGGCGGUACCUAACCAGAAAGCCACGGCUAACUACGUGCCAGCCGCCGCGGUAA